This 495-nucleotide ribosomal RNA is filed under the name uncultured bacterium. RNAcentral describes it as "bacterial SSU rRNA". It matches the Rfam family "Bacterial small subunit ribosomal RNA", at positions 903 to 1397 of the family's 1533-position model. The record is from RNAcentral.
AAAGGAAUAGACGGGGGCCCGCACAAGCGGAGGAACAUGUGGUUUAAUUCGAUGAUACGCGAGGAACCUUACCCGGGCUUGAAAUGCAGAUGAUCGAAGUGGAGACACUUUUUCCAGCGAUGGCGUCUGUGUAGGUGCUGCAUGGUUGUCGUCAGCUCGUGCCGUGAGGUGUCGGCUUAAGUGCCAUAACGAGCGCAACCCUCAUUACUAGUUACCAUCAGGUCUAGCUGGGGACUCUAGUGAGACUGCCGGCGUAAGCUGUGAGGAAGGUGGGGAUGACGUCAAAUCAGCACGGCCCUUAUGUCCGGGGCGACACACGUGUUACAAUGGGGAGUACAGCGGGAAGCUACCUGGCGACAGGAUGCCAAUCUUUUAAAACUCUUCUCAGUUCGGAUCGGAGUCUGCAACUCGACUUCGUGAAGCUGGAUUCGCUAGUAAUCGCGCAUCAGCCACGGCGCGGUGAAUACGUUCCCGGGCCUUGUACACACCGCCCGU